Molecule: long non-coding RNA, 441 nt
Organism: Polyodon spathula (Mississippi paddlefish)
Lineage: Eukaryota; Metazoa; Chordata; Actinopteri; Acipenseriformes; Polyodontidae
Exons: 3
Source: RefSeq, a predicted model, not a curated record
AGAUAAUCAUCUUGAUUCAACAUUAAUUGAAAUGUGUGAUAAGUUAACUGGGAGAAGACCUGAAAUUGUUGGGGGAAAAAAGGGAAAAGACCCUUAGUAACACCACAGCGGUAUUACACUAGCCCUGAUGAUGAGUGGAUGGAAAAUUCAUAAGUCAUUUCUCUGCACAGCGUUGCCAAGAUAAUAUAUCAACUAUUUUCCUACCUGCUCAGGUGAUUCUUCUCAUCAUUCAGCUUCUCUAUUCGGCUGCAGGAACUACAACGUUAGUCUUUCCUGCUCCAUUCAGCACCCACUCCCACAGAGCCAGCACAAUUUACAGUUCCACCAGAAGAUCCUGUCCUGGACCUCCAUUAGAAGCCAAAGGCGGCAAGGAAGCUCUCAAAUACCUGCAACAGGGACAAUCUUGUUGAGCACUUACUUAAAAAGAAAAAAGCUGAAAAG